UACAGAGGUCCCAAGCGUUGUUCGGAUUCACUGGGCGUAAAGGGUGCGCAGGUGGGUUUGCAAGUUCGUUGUGAAAGCCCCGGGCUUAACCCGGGAAUGGCAUUGGAUACUGCAGAUCUGGAGGAUCGGAGGGGGGACUGGAAUUCUUGGUGUAGCAGUGAAAUGCGUAGAUAUCAAGAGGAACACCAGUGGCGAAGGCGAGUCCCUGGAGGAUACCUGACACUGAGGCACGAAAGCUAGGGGAGCAAACAGG
Molecule: ribosomal RNA, 253 nt
Filed under: uncultured bacterium
Lineage: Bacteria
Description: partial 16S ribosomal RNA
Rfam family: Bacterial small subunit ribosomal RNA
Source: RNAcentral